GAUGAACGCUGGCGCGUGCCUAAUACAUGCAAGUCGAGCGAACAGACGAGGAGCUUUCUUCUCUUACGUUAGCGGCGGACGGGUGAGUAACACGUUGAUAACCUACCUUUAAGACUGGGAUAACUUUCGGAAACCCGAGCUAAUACCCGGUAAUAUAUUUAACCGCAUUGUUCAAUAAUUAAAGACCGUUUUUCUGUUACUUUUUAAUUGAUCCGCGCCGCAUUAGCUAGUUGGUAAGGUAACGGCUUACCAAGGCAACGAUGCGUAGCCGACCUGAGAGGGUGAUCGGCCACACUGGAACUGAGACACGGUCCAGACUCCUACGGGAGGCAGCAGUAGGGAAUCUUCCGCAAUGGGCGAAAGCCUGACGGAGCAACGCCGCGUGAGUGAUGAAGGUCUUCGGAUCGUAAAACUCUGUUAUUAGGGAAGAACAAAUGUGUAAGUAACUAUGCACGUCUUGACGGUACCUAAUCAGAAAGCCACGGCUAACUACGUG
RNAcentral lists this ribosomal RNA (496 nucleotides) under uncultured bacterium. RNAcentral's name for it is "partial 16S ribosomal RNA". It matches the Rfam family "Bacterial small subunit ribosomal RNA", at positions 28 to 507 of the family's 1533-position model. The record is from RNAcentral.